RNAcentral lists this ribosomal RNA (253 nucleotides) under uncultured bacterium. Its description in RNAcentral is "partial 16S ribosomal RNA". It matches the Rfam family "Bacterial small subunit ribosomal RNA", at positions 524 to 776 of the family's 1533-position model. The record is from RNAcentral.
UACAGAGACUGCAAGCGUUAUUCGGAUUCCCUGGGCGUAAAGGGUGCGCAGGCGGCCGUGUGUGUGAGGCGUGAAAGCCCGGGGCUUAACCCCGGAAUUGCACCUCAAACUACAUGGCUAGAGCAUUGGAGAGGGUAGCAGAAUUCAUGGUGUAGCAGUGAAAUGCGUAGAUAUCAUGAGGAAUACCAGAGGCGAAGGCGGCUACCUGGACAAUUGCUGACGCUCAGGCACGGAAGCGUGGGGAGCAAAAGGG